This 455-nucleotide ribosomal RNA is filed under the name uncultured bacterium. Its description in RNAcentral is "bacterial SSU rRNA". It matches the Rfam family "Bacterial small subunit ribosomal RNA", at positions 340 to 786 of the family's 1533-position model. The record is from RNAcentral.
UACGGGAGGCAGCAGUGGGGAAUAUUGCACAAUGGGCGAAAGCCUGAUGCAGCUAUGCCGCGUGUAUGAAGAAGGCCUUAGGGUUGUAAAGUACUUUCAUCGGGGAGGAAAAACAAAACUAAUAAUUUUAUUUCUUGACGUUACCCGAAAAAGAAGCACCGGCUAACUCCGUGCCAGCAGCCGCGGUAAUACGGAGGGUGCUAGCGUUAAUCAGAAUUACUGGGCGUAAAGAGCACGUAGGUGGUUUUUUUAAAGUCAGAUGUGAAUCCCUGGGCUUAACCUAGGAACUGCAUUUUGAAACUGAAAUACUAGAGUAUCGUAGAGGGAGGUAGAAUUCUAGGUGUAGCGGUGAAAUGCGUAGAUAUCUGGAGGAAUACCUGUGGCGAAAGCGGCCUCCUAAACGAAUACUGACACUGAGGUGCGAAAGCGUGGGGAGCAAACAGGGAUUAGAUACC